Non-coding RNA from Dermacentor albipictus, 6164 nucleotides. NCBI's taxonomy places the organism in Eukaryota, Metazoa, Arthropoda, Arachnida, Ixodida, Ixodidae. The record is from RefSeq and is a predicted model, not a curated record.
GAGGAAUAUGGGUUUAUUUACAGCAUUUACAUCAGUCUAACAUGACUGAGAAAGUACAUCAGUCUAACAUGACUGCUUGAGAGAGAGUGUCCUGAGCAGCCGCACUACAGCGGUUUUUAAACACUCGGUCCUCUCCCGAUACAAGGUGCAUGCGAACGUUCGUUUCGUCAUCGCAAACUAGCCGCCUCCCCGCAGGACGGUGUACACACACAAAUGCACACACGUUCGAAUGUCCGGAGUCGACGUCAGAGGGGCCCCGUGGAACGCGGAGCCAUUCCGGGUAGCUCGUUGGGGAGUGUCAGUUAUAAAAACCUUAAACAAUAGCAGUAGUUGUGACAUUGACGGUUUUCAAGUGUGCCCAAUUAAACAUGUAGCUGAAAUCAUUGCCCCAAUACUCACCCAUAUUUUUAACAUGUGUUUGGAAUCGGCAGUUUUUCCGGUGAAGAUGCAGUCUGCGAAAGUAACUGUUCUAUAUAAAAAAGGAGAUCGUAAUGAUUUGGGAAAUUACAGGCCAGUAUCUAUUUUGCCAAUCUUUUCAAAGGUGCUUGAACAAAUUUUGCAUUCGAGGAUGACAAAUUUUAUUGAGAAACAUAACCUGUUAACACCACACCAGUUUGGUUUUCGUAAGAAAAAGUCAGUCGAGUUAGCAUUAGUAGAGCAAAAAGAAUAUAUAUUAACAGAGUUUGAAAACAAAGCUAUAGUUGUUGGUAUUUUCGUAGACUUUUCUAAGGCCUUUGACUUAGUUGAUCAUGACAUUUUAUUGGAGAAAUUAAACUAUUAUGGAAUACGAGGACAGGCACUAUCUCUUGUCAAAUCCUACUUAUCUGAGAGAACACAAAUUGUGAAAAUCGACACCUUUACUUCUAAGGCUAGAGCUGUCCAUUGUGGAGUGCCGCAGGGAAGUAUUUUAGGGCCUUUGCUUUUUAUUAUAUAUCUGAAUGAUAUCGUCAAUAUUAACUCUCAGGCAAGGUUCAUUAUCUACGCGGACGACACGAGUAUUUUCUUCACUGGUAAUAAUGUUCAAUUUCUUAUAGAACAAUGCAACAAUGCAAUGAAAUCCUUAGAGGAAUGGUCGAGAGUGAAUCUAAUGAAGAUAAAUGCAAACAAAACAAAAGCAGUUAUAUUCAGACCGAAAAACAAGCAAAUACCUCCCCAUCAAGACAUUGUAUUAAACUCAAAGACUAUUGAAAUAGUCGAGACCUUCAAAUGCCUGGGUGUCUUCUUUUCAGCGAACAUGUCUUGGGACAAUCACGUCAAACAUGUUUUAAGCAAAAUAAGUAGAAUAACCGGUGUAGUAGGCCGUAUGAGAUACAUUCUUUCCACGCGUAUUAAACUCUUGCUGUACAAUUCACUUUUCCAAUCACAUUUAAACUAUUGCCAAUUAGUAUGGGGUAAUACAACAUCCAUCAAUCUAGAACAUAUUCACCUGUUACAAAAGAAGUAUCUCCGCAACGCAUAUAACGCUUCCUACACAGCAUCGACAAUAACCUUCUUUAAUAAUUCUGGUGUGAUCCCAGCUCACAAUCUCUACAGAUAUCGUCUGAGUCAUGUAUAUAAACUGGAAAUCCAUCGAAAUAUCAGCAACCUGCGUACUCUAGCCCAACUUCAGAGAGAAUCUACAAAUUACGUUACAAGACAUUUUGAGGAUUGGUUAGUACCAACACCCCGUUCAAAUUAUGGGAAACAAUGCCUUAAAUACAUAAUACCAACACUGUUAAAUUACUGUAAUUCGGUCCGAUUUGAUCUUUUCACGUCAUCAUCCAAGGAACUGAAACUGAUGUAUACGGUUUCGAUGUAAUAUCUGGUAGCGUUAUGUAUCUGUGUUAUUGCAUUCUUUUGUUGACAUGAAGCAAAGUGUGAGUGAGUAACAUGUCAUUGCAGCUAUGUAUACAGCUACAUAUAUGUAUGUAUAUGUAUGUGCGCAUAUGUUAUGCUGCCUCCCUGCAGAAACAGGGAUUGUGGACACGUCAAGCUGUUGAAGGACAGCUUUUUAUCUACAGUCCCUCCAUCUGUAAAUGUACAGGAUGGCAAAUAAACAAUUUCAUUUCAAUAGUUGGCCCGCCGAACUCAUUCCGUCACAACGGCGAUGAGGCUAGAGGUUGGUGGAAGUUUCAGCACAAAGCCUGCUUCCUCGAACGCAUCCUAGCUGAAGCGACGGAGAGUGGGGGAUGCCCAUAUUGUUCCCCGACACAAAGUCGAUUUAGUCACGCUGUGGCUAGAAGUUGGCGACGACGCUCCCGGAAUGUUGCCGCCAUAGUUGUAAGGGGGUGGAAAACUUGCACUGCAGCUGGCCGUUCUUAACAACGCACACAUGCACACAUGCACGCACGCACACGCACGCACACGCACACGCACGCACACGCACGCACACGCACGCACACGCACGCACACGCACGCACACACACGCACAGGCACGCACACACACGCACAGGCACGCACAGGCACGCACACGCACGCACACGCACACACGUACACACACGCACACACACACACGUACACACGCACACACACGUACACACACACACGUACACACGCACACACACACACGCACACACACACACGCACACACACACACGUGCACACACGCACACGUACACGUACACACGCACACACACACACGUACACGUACACACGCACACGUACACGUACACACGCACACGCAUUGUACACACGCACGUACACACACACGUACACACACACACACGUACACACACGCACACGCACGCACACACAGGUAUAGGUAUAUAUAUUGUUUUUUUUUUCUUCAACGGUUUUCCGUCUCUUUUUGGGUGCGGCGAAUUGGGUCGUUGCAACAGAUGCGCCGAAGACCAUUCGUGUAGUGUGCCGCCCUCUCCUUCAGAGCGGUGUGCUGACGGAGACCAGCUAGCCUCCUUGAGAGCUAUAGUCUAUAGUAGUCUAUAGUCUGUGCUAUAGUCUAUACUAGUAUUGCGCUAUAGUUCGGGCUCACGGCUGACGGCCGCCCGACGACCGUCCAAUUUAUUCCGGUUGCUGUCACCAGAUGUCACCAAAGAGCCGUUGUUCUACACCUCUCGGAACUUUCGGCACGCAUGUAGCCAUAGACUGCAAUGGAAAUGCAGGGUAAUUAAUUUGGGAAGAACAAGUUUAGUGCCGGUUAAGCAAGCCGUUCGUAUUUCAGAACGCUAACAACGCAGAGCGUGCGUCGACUCAUCCGUUAUAGUGCGCUUCUCUUAUAUAUGACCGACCGAUUAGCUUUAUCAAAUUACCGCGACAUGCGUCUCUUUUCUCACUGCAAUAUAAAGUAUAAUUGCAGCCAUCCCAUCGCGUGCACCAGGCUCGCUGUCACUGUGACAGGAGUGUCCGGAAUUUCAUCGCACACACUUAUAUGUGGCAUAUGUCCUGGGCGCUGAUUUAUUCUUCUUAGCUUUGUACCGGCCAACUCUUCUUCUCUAAUAAAUCUUCUUGCUUUGAAUAUUGCCCAAGUGACAAAAUUAUCAGUUUCUUAUUGUUACGCCAAUCCUUCGUUAUCACAUAUCCUUCGCUAUCUCAAUUGGUUAUAUAUAGCAUACGGACGUACCUCGUGAUCGAACGGCUUGUUAAUUGCGAGGUGGUCUCGAAAACAUCCGGAGAGUGAACGACGACAGUAAAGACAACACAACGGACUUAGCUGCACCGCAAGGUCGUGUCAGGUGGUCUAAGUGAGUUUCACGGUUCCCUACGAGUGAUGUGGCCCUAAGGUAUCGAUGCUAGAAGCAGAUAUGAAAACAGCAUUUUCCAUGCCUCUUUAUUCAAUCACACUUACCACAAUGGCGUGUAUAGAGAGACAGUUGCAAGGUAUACCAAAACUUUAAACAAUACGACAAACAGAACGUUGAAAGUAACAAAACAAGAAAAGUUCGAAGGGAUCAUUACACGGCGAGAGAAAGGAUCCGUCGGGAAAGAAAACGCCGUGACGUCAGGCAGGUCAGCUCGACGAGUUCCCGGUGUGCAGCAGCUGGCAUGAUGCUUUUCCCUAAGCCGUAUUUCAGUUUCGUGCCUCGCACGAAGUUAUUAGUCACGUGAUAGAUCGUAUCAAUACAUCUUCUGAUUAACGUUGUCCGAAGAACAGUUCUUCGGGGUCUGAUGAGGGCAUUGUGAAACGAGACUAGACGGAUGGCAGUAGCACAGGGGCGCCGGUAAAACGAGACACGUGAACAUGGCACCACGAACUUUUUAUUGACGGUUAAUUGAGGUGAGACAGUAGAUGUUACGGUGCCCAGUAAUGCAGGGCGCAGCUGGGGCACACCGGGGGUCCCCAAGCCUGCACAAAGCUCAUUUCCUGCGUCUUCGGGCUCGUUGUCCAGCGUCGCACAUGGCCGCACACUGACACAGUCUGUAUGUACAAGUCACGCAGCAGUAUGGUACAAUUCAGCGGAGCAGAGGAACCACACUGGGCUCGCCCCUUUGAGCGCGCGCCGAUCGCCUGGUCAAACAGUGACCGGGUGGAAUGACACACUCUUUCAAGAAUACGAGGGAACGCUGGACAUAUCGUUGCGCGGGGACGACUGCCUCUCUCGUGUCUAGCACGAUUUUCGAGAGCAAUCGUCUAUGCAUCAAAGUGGAGUGCGUUUACUCGGCGUGCGUCCGUCAGAAUGUGAUCGCGCCCCAUUGAGGUUGUUGUGACACUCUCGACAAAAGAGCUAAACAGGGGAGACGACAGUCAUUCUUGCACAACGGACUCGCUAGCCCUUGCGUUGUGCAAUUAGAGGGCACAUUCCCGCCACAGAGUUUAGUGCGGAGUCUGCGGGAGGCUCGUGACCGCGCUCGCGAAACUGGACAAUCGCCCCUUUACAGAGCAAAAAGCUCCAGGACACUGGUCCAGACGGGGUUGGUGACUAAAGGCCUUAAGGGCUUUGCUGAAGUUGUUAAGGGCAUGUGAAUUGUGCGACCGUCUUUGAGUGUUGUAGCGCGUAGUAUCGCGUUACUGUGUGAAUUUUCCGAUUAACUUUUUCCGCUUCUUAUUCUUUCUCCUUUUAUUCCCUUUAUCCCCUUUCCCCAUCACAGGGUAGCCAGCCGGUACUUACACUGGCUAACCUCCCCGUAUUUCCUCCUCUUUGACUCCACCCCCCCCCCCCCCCACGCUGGAACCGCCAGGCUCGACCACACCAGGAGAAUCUUGUAAACUGUGUGUUUAAUUCUGCUUCGGACGUCCUUGUAGCUUCAGCUAAUCUACUAUCGCAGCUUUCUUACUCGCAAUGACACGAUUAAUACGAACUCUAGCAAGAACUUCAAUUUUUUCGAAGCUUCAAUCCAAGUAGCCUCUAGAGGCGAUAAGGAAAAAAUGGAAGGAAACUAAACAAUAUAGCUAUUAUAAUCGUAGCUCUUGAAAUGGCACCCAGAUGUAACGAUCAGUGGAAUCAUUGCCCAAGUUUAGCUGCAUGAAGGACGACAGCGUACUAUGAUCAAUCAUCAUAGAGUCAAUGUGCGAAGAGUUAUGAAAUAAGUUUAACUGCUACUCAACGUUAAGCAUUUCACUAUACCGUAAACUAGCACUGUGGUGCGAUCUGGCAGCAAAUUGUAGAUUAAAGGGCACGAUGAAAGAAGCCGCAAGUACAGGCUCGACUAAGCCUAUAGGCAGACAAAGCCCGACGUCAAUGUUCCCAUCACUUCUAUGCUGGUUUCAGCGCCAAGCUGUUUGAGCGGAACUGUCUAUCAUGGUCGGAGCUGCGCAGCGCUUUCUUCGUCAGUGAGUUUGCGGAACGACUGCAAUGGCGUGGUUUGUGAACAACGGACUCGCGCUACAGGGCCGUUUGAAUGCACGAUGUGAUCAAGGAGGGCACGAAAGCUCGUCUAUCGCGUAGAAGACUCGACUGAAGAUGCCUCUGAUAAAUGUAUAGGCGCCAGAGAGAGGUGGAAGGGGAGUAAGCAGCUCGAUGAGGCGGUCUAAUCAACAAAAUGUUAUGAGUACACAAAUUUCCAUGCGCAGAAUGUUUCUUGAUAAAUACGACGGCGCGGCGCUGUUUCGAAAUCGAGCCUUCAUGACGGGCUAGAAUGGUUUUGUAAAAAAAUUCAUUCAGCUCGAUACUGUUGGGAAUACUAAGUUUUCGGGUCACAUCCGCGUCAGCUUCGGCCAGCUUUCAGCAGCUAACGCGUGUUCUAUUGUGCAACUGACAGGUCUCGCCAAAACGAGAAAACAAAAAAACAAA